UACGUAGGGGGCCAGCGUUGUCCGGAAUCAUUGGGCGUAAAGCGCGCGUAGGCGGCCAGAUAAGUCCGGUGUGAAAGUCAAAGGCUCAACCUUUGAAUGCCGCUGGAAACUGCCUGGCUUGAGUCCGGAAGGGGCGAGUGGAGUUCCUGGUGUAGCGGUGAAAUGCGCAGAUAUCAGGAGGAACACCAAUGGCGAAGGCAGCUCGCUGGAACGGUACUGACGCUGAGGCGCGAAAGCGUGGGGAGCGAACAGG
RNAcentral lists this ribosomal RNA (253 nucleotides) under uncultured bacterium. RNAcentral describes it as "partial 16S ribosomal RNA". It matches the Rfam family "Bacterial small subunit ribosomal RNA", at positions 524 to 776 of the family's 1533-position model. The record is from RNAcentral.